Sus scrofa (pig) is the source of this 1003-nucleotide non-coding RNA. Lineage: Eukaryota; Metazoa; Chordata; Mammalia; Artiodactyla; Suidae. The record is from RefSeq and is a predicted model, not a curated record.
GGCCACAGUCCUGGGCUACCUGUGGUUCAAUGUCUGAUAUAAAGUCUUACUUUUCAGGUCUGGACACAGUUUUCACCUUCAGACAGGCCUUCUCAGAUCCCUUCACCCACCCACCCCAGAUACAGCAGCCCCCACCUCAGUACAGACGCUGUGACCCACAGGACCCAAGUUCAUCUUCCUCACGGCACUGACCAGCGACUGUCAUCAUGUGGCUGCACCAUUGGUGUGCGUGCUGACUGCCUCCUCUAGAAUCUUCAACCUGCCCUCCAUAUUUUGCUCUGCCAGACAAUGGAGUAUCAUUCAGCCAUAAAAAGGGAUGAAGGAUCCCAGGCAUGUUGCAUGCCACAUGGAAGAAGCCAGCCAUCAUUUUCUUAAUGUAUGGGAACUAUACCUCAGGAAACAAACUGUCUUCGUUUCUGCGAUCCUUCUGGAGAAGAUAAGAACCUUGUGUCUUGGCUCGGAGUCUUCGUGAAAGCAAAGCUUGUGAUCGGACCCGUGUGUUGGAAGGUUGAUCUGGGAGGUCACGGCAAGAAGCUGGAGGGAGGGGCCAGGAGAGUGACAGAUACAGAAAAAGACACUGUGAGUGUAUCCUGAGGUCUCUGCUGGGGGCAGUUUGGGCUCAGUUCCAGUGGGGACCUUCUAGGGAGCCUAUAGAAGGCUUCUCAAAAUUGUCCAUGGGAAGAGCUAGUGGGAGAGGCACUCAUCCAUCAGCUCCCCAUUCCCCCCAUUGAGGGCUGCCUCUGCAGGAGUUAACUCCAGAAACCCCGGGACAGAAAGUGAAACCCACUUCGAGGUGAGAGCCUGGCAUCUGGAGCCCCCCCGGGAAGAGCUGGCUGCAGCUGUGGCUGAACUCGGAGGAGAGGCCAAGAGGAUGUGAGUGAGGGCACAGCAGCAUCUGUACAGGCUACUCUUGCCGGCCCGCCCCUGCCCGCAUGCUCUCCCAUGCCCUUUCCCACAUUCUUGUGACCCAAAAUUGUAGGACCAGGCACUAAACAUGAUCACA